UACGUAGGGUGCAAGCGUUAAUCGGAAUUACUGGGCGUAAAGCGUGCGCAGGCGGCUAUGCAAGACAGAUGUGAAAUCCCCGGGCUCAACCUGGGAACUGCAUUUGUGACUGCAUGGCUAGAGUACGGUAGAGGGGGAUGGAAUUCCGCGUGUAGCAGUGAAAUGCGUAGAUAUGCGGAGGAACACCGAUGGCGAAGGCAAUCCCCUGGACCUGUACUGACGCUCAUGCACGAAAGCGUGGGGAGCAAACAGG
This 253-nucleotide ribosomal RNA is filed under the name uncultured bacterium. RNAcentral's name for it is "partial 16S ribosomal RNA". It matches the Rfam family "Bacterial small subunit ribosomal RNA", at positions 524 to 776 of the family's 1533-position model. The record is from RNAcentral. RNAcentral also lists the same sequence under 1 other name.